This 297-nucleotide small RNA is filed under the name Pongo abelii (Sumatran orangutan). RNAcentral's name for it is "retained intron". Lineage: Eukaryota; Metazoa; Chordata; Mammalia; Primates; Hominidae. The record is from RNAcentral.
CACUCCCUAAAGUGGCUUUCUGCAGUGACUUUGCCUAUUGAUCUGUUUACUGCCUUCCCUGGGGCCACGAGGGAGCCUGCCAGGGUGGGGCCCAUGGUUGUGUUCUUGCACUGCCAGGGCACAGCCUGCCCCGGGUGCUGGAGACCUUCCUGUGGUUCCCCAGCAGGUGGCCAGCGAGGCCUCAGCGGUGCCCAGGACCCACCCAUGUCCUCAGUGCAGUGAGACCUUCCCGACAGCAGCCACCCUGGAGGCCCACAAGAGGGGCCACACCGGGCCGAGGCCGUUCGCCUGCGCGCA